Molecule: non-coding RNA, 407 nt
Organism: Carica papaya (papaya)
Lineage: Eukaryota; Viridiplantae; Streptophyta; Magnoliopsida; Brassicales; Caricaceae
Source: RefSeq, a predicted model, not a curated record
UUUGCAUGCAACCAAGAGACUAUUCUUACACGUCGUCCGAGACGGACUGGCAACCGGUAAACAUGUUGGGUGCUCUUGGAUCAAAAGGUGAACCUCCCUUGACUGUCGCUUCGACGGGUACCGGACAUGUAGGUUGUCAGUCCAUCUACCCAGGUGUCAUCGCCUCGUUUGAUAGCAUAAACUCUUGGUGCCUCUAUCUGUCUCUUCAUGAGUGGAACCUCUGAGUCUUUGGCAUAUAUUCCGAUCUGUUUUUGCUUCUUUUGGGAGUGACUGUUUUUCUUUCCUCAAUUUACCAAAAGGAGAAAGAGGAUUAAAGCAGGAAGAAGAGAGAGAAACAAGGAGUGAACAUCUGAAAUCUAGGGUUUCCAUGGAUUUCCAUAUGUGCAAAAACUGAGAAAUUCUUCCUU